UUCCAUGGAAGCUUUUAGCUGAGCUCGAAGCUUCGACUGUGUACUUGUCAGCAAGGUCUUCUCUUUCUCAAAAUCACUUGAUUGCUGCUCCAUAGCACCGGUGGCAAUAUCCAGGUCUUCUUGUAGGGCAUGCAUGGCAACACGGUUCUCUCUCUCAAUCUCCUUACGAGCUGACCUAAUUCUGGCCUCAAAUCUCGCCUUAUGGUGAACCAAUUCUUCUCUAGCCCUUUCCAAAUCAUUAUUUAAGAUGUGC
Molecule: long non-coding RNA, 253 nt
Filed under: Capsicum annuum
Lineage: Eukaryota; Viridiplantae; Streptophyta; Magnoliopsida; Solanales; Solanaceae
Description: long non-coding RNA (CANN_LNC008283)
Source: RNAcentral